Molecule: long non-coding RNA, 626 nt
Filed under: Androctonus crassicauda
Lineage: Eukaryota; Metazoa; Arthropoda; Arachnida; Scorpiones; Buthidae
Source: RNAcentral
UAAAUAUGAAAUUACAAGAAACAAAUUUGAAUUUCUCAUGUCUAAAAUUGGCUGCCUAAUCACUUCUAUAUACAGAUAAAUACUUAUGAACAAAUAACAGAUAAAUACUUAUGAACUUCUACAGAUAAAUGGUUAAUAGUUUAAUACUUAUGAAAGUAUUAAACUAUUAAUCAUUUAUAUAAUUUUAUAUUUAACCAUUUAUAUAAUUUUAUAUUUUAUAUCAUCAUUAAUACUUCACUCUUCAUACCUCUAAUCCUGCCCUCAUAUCCCUUUGGAUAAAGGCAGGGUUAGUCACUACCCAAAGAGAUUCUAUGUGCCAACUAUCUCAUCAUGUAUCAUAAAAGAUAAUUAAAAGUGUAAGGUCACGGGACCCUGAGAGGAAUUUUAUCUUUACAUCAAAUUAUUUUAAAUAUGCAUAUGAUAAAAUUAAUCUAUGUCAGUAAAAAGGUGAAGAUCAAACAAUUGGUAAGGAAUGUAUCACUCAGCAAAAAAAUUGUCUCUCGUAUGUUAUUGAAAGUAAAUAAUCAAAAUAAUGUCGAGACGAAAAUGAUCUUAUUACGUGCAGAUGUCGCCAUAACUCGAUGUGAAAGAAUGAGAAAUUGUUUAUUAAAUUAUAAACAGCACAA